This 516-nucleotide ribosomal RNA is filed under the name uncultured bacterium. RNAcentral describes it as "bacterial SSU rRNA". It matches the Rfam family "Bacterial small subunit ribosomal RNA", at positions 9 to 526 of the family's 1533-position model. The record is from RNAcentral.
GAGUUUGAUCCUGGCUCAGGAUGAACGCUGGCGGCGUGCUUAACACAUGCAAGUCGAACGGGAAAUAUUUCAUUGAGACUUCGGUGGAUUUGAUCUAUUUCUAGUGGCGGACGGGUGAGUAACGCGUGGGUAACCUGCCUUAUACAGGGGGAUAACAGUUAGAAAUGACUGCUAAUACCGCAUAAGCGCACAGGACCGCAUGGUCCGGUGUGAAAAACUCCGGUGGUAUGAGAUGGACCCGCGUUGGAUUAGCUUGUUGGCAGGGUAACGGCCUACCAAGGCGACGAUCCAUAGCCGGCCUGAGAGGGUGAACGGCCACAUUGGGACUGAGACACGGCCCAGACUCCUACGGGAGGCAGCAGUGGGGAAUAUUGCACAAUGGGGGAAACCCUGAUGCAGCGACGCCGCGUGGAGGAAGAAGGUCUUCGGAUUGUAAACUCCUGUUGUUGAGGAAGAUAAUGACGGUACUCAACAAGGAAGUGACGGCUAACUACGUGCCAGCAGCCGCGGUAAUAC